GACGAACGCUGGCGGCGUGCUUAAAAACAUGCAAGUCGAACGGACUUCUCAUGAAGCUUGCGAUUGAGAAGUUAGUGGCGGACGGGUGAGUAACGCGUGGGCAACCUGCCCCUGAGCCCGGGAUAACAGUUCGAAAGGACUGCUAAGACCGGAUAUACUUGCGGGGAAGCAUUUCACUGCAAGGAAAGGGAACGCUCAGGGAUGGGCCCGCGUCCCAUUAGCUAGUUGGUGAGGUAACGGCCCACCAAGGCGACGAUGGGUAGCCGGCCUGAGAGGGUGAACGGCCACACUGGGACUGAGACACGGCCCAGACUCCUACGGGAGGCAGCAGUUGGGAAUCUUCGGCAAUGGGCGCAAGCCUGACCGAGCAACGCCGCGUGAGUGAUGAAGGUUUUCGGAUUGUAAAGCCCUGUCUUCCGGGACGAUAAUGACGGUACCGGAGGAGGAAGCCACGGCUAACUACGUG
This 466-nucleotide ribosomal RNA is filed under the name uncultured bacterium. RNAcentral describes it as "bacterial SSU rRNA". It matches the Rfam family "Bacterial small subunit ribosomal RNA", at positions 28 to 507 of the family's 1533-position model. The record is from RNAcentral.